Molecule: long non-coding RNA, 3407 nt
Organism: Felis catus (domestic cat)
Lineage: Eukaryota; Metazoa; Chordata; Mammalia; Carnivora; Felidae
Exons: 2
Source: RefSeq, a predicted model, not a curated record
AAGGUGGAAAAACAACAACAACGACCAGAGCCACAGAACAAACAAAAAGAACUCGAGCCCAGAACCUCAGGAUCGUUUCUGGUCGCAGUCCCAGGAAGCUCCCGGGGCAAAUCUGGCCGACGCGCACCCAGGCCAAGCAACGAGUUCCACCCACGCACCUAGUCCCUCUCCCCGCGCGUCAGACACAUCUGUCAUCGGAAAACCGCGUGAAAGGAAGCAGGCAAUCAGCAGGAGAACCUGGCCGAAUUAGUAAGUUUUUGUUUGUUUGGUUUUUUUCCCCCUCAUUCUACCUUUCUCUCCAGAAACCGAGUCCCUCAGAAUAGAAGGUGCUGUGUUGACACUAAUAAAAAAGCAGGUCGAUUAAUUCACUUUGCCCUCACCUCUUCCCACCUCCCCAGGUCGGGAACUGUCUUCAAUUGUUUGGAAAUUCAACCGAGCCAACUGGGUCAUGAAUGAAAAAAAAAAAAAAAAAAAUCCAAACCCGGGAGACUGGCAAGGAACGCGGAGGGCAGGGCCACUUCUUUUUGGGCUCGGCAAGGUCGCUGGGGAAGAGGGGAGAGACCUCAGUGCUCCUGCCCCAUGCCAGGGCGCUGUGCCACUGAAAGGAGGCUGGCAUUCACUGCCAUGGUGAGCGAGAGAGAGAGAGAGGAGAGGGAGUGUGUGUGUGUGUGUGUGUGUGUGUGUGCGCGCGCGCGCGCACGUGUGAAGGGGGGCAAGUGUGAACGGUGAGUGUGGGCGAGGGUGAGUAUGCCCCUCUUCAAAGCCGCCCUAGUGCCCUCUCCCACCGCCGCCGGCGCCGGCUGCCAUCUCACCACCUUUGCUCCUGUCUCCCCACAUGUCUCACCUUCAGAUGGCGGCUCCCAGAAGCUCCUGCCCCUCUGACAGCUGUCGCUUGGGCAGCCGGGGAGACGAAUUGUCCUCCUUCCUGGUGCCAGAGGACGCAGGAAAUUAGCCAGGUUGCGAGUUGCGAAGCGGCCGCCGCGGCGCCGGGAACUGGACGCGCCCCACCUCCAGCGGGAGCGGCCGGGCCGGGCCGGGCCGGGGCCUCGUCUCGCUCGCCAUCGCCGGACAAAGCGCAGCCAAGCCCGGCUGGAAGGCAGAGCUCCGAAGCAGGCAGGACGGAGCGGAGCAAAAGAAUGCGGCUCUAUUCUCGCAAGGGAAAUUAUAAAAAAGUUCAUGUUCACGGUUCCCAUCCACAUGACCGACAGCGGCCAAUGGAAGGGCCGAACAACUCAUAAAGUUGUAUUGCAAAGUUGUAAAUUUUCAUAAACAACAACGGAUUUAUGACCCUUUCCCCAUCACUAAGAGGAGGCAGCUCUUACACCGGCGCCAUCUUACCACCGAGGCUGCCCCGACUUGGGGACGCAGGUUUUACAAACCCAGUUGGGCCGGGUUUUAUUAAAAGAGCAAGAAGAAGCGGGCCCAACCGAGGCAGGAGGCUGGAGUCGAGGUCUUCGCCCGCCGAGCUCAGGCUAUUCUGCGCUGUGCCCAUCGCCCUUCGCCCCUUAGGCAGACCCUCAUCCUUCCCCGCGCCCGGACGCCCCCGCCAAGGCUCCGCAGCCAGGGGGUCUGCGGUCCCUGCCCCUUCCUCUACCCCUCAGUUGCAGUGCUGUGCCCAGGCGCCCUUGCUUUGCCUGAAUGCAGGGUGGGAGGGGGGCUGCGUCAAAGGGCCUGAAUCCCACCUCCUAGCAUGGGGCUGGGUUCAUGGAAAAUUCAGGAUCAUUGGCAGGGUAAUACCCCUUCCCAAGCCCACCCCACAGCAGUAGGGGAAACGGUGGAUUUUGGAUUUGCUCACGGAAUUUAUGGGUUUUUAGAGAGAUUCAUAGACUAUAAUGUAUCUACCGAAGAUUCCGUUUUCUAGAGAUCCGGGAGAUGUUUGUGCACACACGCAAAACCAAGACAAAAAUCUCCAGAGAAAUGCACAUGUACAAUUAUAGACGCACAGAAACACACACACUCAAUUAUGGACACAGAAAUACAUAAAAUUAUGGAUUCCUGUAGUAAUACACACAUACAUAAAAAUGCACAUACAAAAGAGGUACACACGCACCUAUACAAAUCCACACAAAAAGGGACCCGCCACACAUAAACACCAAACCAUGGACACUCAACACCUGGACGUUAUUCAUCCUUCCAUGUUUGCUUCCCCAAGACCCCUUUGGGCAUGCAGACAUACCCAGGGCUUGCUCUCCAGCCAUGGUCACCUCUCUUUCCCAGGCCCCCCUAGAUAAAGCAGUACAUGUUUCUUUGUCACCAAGCAUCUUUAUUUUUCUGUUACAUAAAACACGGUUAGCUGGGCAAGACAGGAAGCAUGCCUUCCCAUUCCUGGAACCCCAAGCUAAAGCCUAAAGGGACAAGGGGGGGGGGGACGCAGGACAACACAAGAGAUGAAGGGCAUUGAGAAGGGCAUUAGCCCUCCCCGCCAGCUAUAAAGUUAGCUCAAGACAACACACCAUGCUACAAAGUCACCCCAUUAACACAUCCUUCCCAAGUCAAGACAUUGCCUUACAAAUGACCUCCAAGACUAUAUAAAUGACAAAAAAAAAAUCUUGUUCAAAUAUACAAUAUUUGCUAUUGUAGGAAAAGUCAGGGUGUACAUAUUCAACAUGGCUGGACAGUAGGACAUGGGGCCAGGGGAGGUGCAGGAGGCUGGGAGCAUCUCUGCAGUCCUACUAAGCAAAGCUAACCCAGAGGUCUGCAGCUAGCUUGGGAGUGCUCCCCUCCAGAAGUGGGAGUAAAGGGCCUGAACUUGGGGUGCCCAGACCAGAGAUGGAGGGAUUCUAGGUUGCAGCACUUAGAAUGCUUUGGAAUAAAUAUAUUAUUUUUCAAUUUAAAUAGAAGCCAAUACCCUGGUCCCCGGACCCCAGCGUCUUCUCAGUGCAGCCUCAGGGACCCCAAAGGCUGCUGGGCAGAAGCAAGAGGGGCCUGGCCGGGGAAGGGGCCGGCACUAGGUAGCAGGCGAGCCAGUGAGCACAAAAUAGGUAGUUUGGGGCGAGUAGGUAGUACUGAGAAAAUCAGGUCCUUGUCGGUAUGGGGGAGGUGCUGGGUGUCUGCCAGUGUUGGGACGCGUCUGGGCUUCCUGGGAGUGGAGGCCUACUGGGGACUGGGCCCAUAGGUAGUUUGGGGUUGCCUCUGGCCGAGGCCUGUGCUAGGUAGUAUUUUAGCCGUGCCAGUGCAGAACUGGGCGGCCAGGGUAGGGAGAGUGUCUGCUGGGAGUCCUUGGGGCAGAGGGAUCCCCAAGGGGACCCAGUCUAGGCGGCUGCUUAGUCCAGAAAAGGUGGGAGCUGGGAUAGGUAAUGGGGUAGAUGGGUGCAGGUUGGGGAUUGUUGUUUUUGUUUUUGUUUUUGUUUUUCACGUUUUCUUUUUAUUUUUUCCACUUUUGUAAAUAAAUUCAGUGAGUCUCUAAA